AUGUCUGGUAGUUCAGUCUUCAUCUUCAUGAAGACUAUCAUGAAUGCUCGAUCUUUAUCUGAAAAUAGAAAGAAAUAAUUUUUAUCUAUUUUUAAAUAAUUUUUUUAUAAUUUUAUAUUAAUAUGUAAAAGUCCCAAUCAACAGUUGAAAAUAUACAAAAGAAAAAUACAGCUGAUAAUACAAUGCAUCAAGGGCACCCAACCCCUAUUGCAACUCUUGCAGAUGCAUUUAUAUAAUUAGCCAAAAGUGAAACAUUCAUGUAUACAUCCAUUAUAUGGAUGAACCCUAGUCCAUAACCCCUCAACAUGUACUUUAUAAUAAUUAUAAAAUAUUGUAACAAACAACUCAUGUUAUUUUUAUUGUAAUAUCAUUCAUACACAUGUCAAUAGAGAUAUUUAAAAAUUUAGGCAAAAAGCCCAUCUAAAGUUUUUGAUUCGGGUUCAAUACUUGAUCCAAUUUAUAAUUUUAAGUUAAUCAUUUGUCACUCUUUUGAAUUGAGUUGAUCAAUUCUAGAUUAACACUAAUCCAAUUAGGUUAGCAUAGAUUCGG
Molecule: long non-coding RNA, 549 nt
Filed under: Elaeis guineensis (African oil palm)
Lineage: Eukaryota; Viridiplantae; Streptophyta; Magnoliopsida; Arecales; Arecaceae
Description: long non-coding RNA (EGUI_LNC043739)
Source: RNAcentral